AGCACCACCUAAUUAGCUGCCAGUGAAUAUAAGGCAGACAGAAAAACUUGAAAAAGUGAGACUGGCCUAGCCUCCCAGCCUACAUCUUUCUCCCAUGCUGGAUGCUUCCUGCCCUCAAACAUCAGACUCCAAGUUCUUCAGUUUUGGAACUUGGACUGGCUCUCCUUGCUCUUCAAGCUUAUAGACAGCCUAUUGUGGGACCCUGUGAUUGUCCAAGUUCUACAAGAGAUAAAUCAGCUGAGACUACCACUAGACAUCUGCAAGCAGAAGAUUAGGAGAGUAAAUUUGCGAGACACAUAUGCAUAUGACCCAGAAACCAAGUUGCGUGAAACUACCAUGGUUUGUGCCUCGAUAGGUUGAACAAGGACAUGGUGAGAAGACAGCCAUCUGCAAGCCAGAAAGAGCGCUAACCAGAACGCAACCAUGUGGAUACCCCGAUCUCAUAGUCCCAGCCUCCAAAACUGUGGGCCUCUCCCAGAUGGCAACUUGUUUAUCAAAGCAUGAAAACCAAGAAGGUGAUAAAGAAAGUCUGCUAGCAAGACAUAAGUCACAAUCUUUUGUAAUCUAUUUAUGAAAGUGACAUCCCAUCAUCUUGACCACAAUCUAUUGAUUAGAAACAAGUACAGCUCACCCUCAACAAGAGGAGAUAAUAUCCAGGUGUGAAUUGCACAAGACUAAUCCAGUGGAAAAACUAUAUUCGACCCAAGGAUCUGUAUCCACACAGUUUGACAAUAAUUUACUUCUUUCUGGAAGCGAUGAGCACAGUGUAAUUCCUGAGAAAUUUUAAUAAUGAUAUUUUAAUUAUAAUUAAGUGAAACCUAGCAAAGUUGGCUGUAUCUGGAGGAACUCCACUGUGGGAAACAGAUUCUUAAGAUGGCUGAAGAUGGCUGUUUCGCUGCAUCAAUGUGUGACUUUCAAUAGAUGAUCGAAGAUGGCUGUUUGGCACUGUGUCUGAAUUAAGCCAGAAGGAAGGAGGAAGAAGAUGAAGAAAAGGCAUGCCUCUACCCCUUAGGACCACGUCUCUGAAGCUGUAUACAACAUUUCUGCUCUCAUAUAAUUGGGCAGAACUUAGUCAUAGAGCUACAUGUAGUUGCAAGGGAAGCUAUAUGCACUAAUGUGCUUAGUUAAACAUUGGGAUUCUCUUACUAAGGUACAUAAGGAGAACAUAUAUUUGGAGAGGCAACUAUCCAUCUCUGCCACAAGAUCUGAAACAAUUAUUGUGAGACUAUAAACAUAGAAAAAAGCUCCAGAGAUCAGGGGGAAGUCAGAAAUUAUUUGGGAUUCCAGUGAAUGGAAUGUUGACCAUAAAUGAGAAAUGAUGCUUGGGAUAAUUCCUAGCGAGCAUUGGCUUUUAGAGUUGGGAUUGAAGUCAACCAGCUAUAAAGAGCAAGACUGGGUGGGGUACUUUGAAAUGUCAUAUCAUUGUGUAUGGCUUUUGUGGUAGUUACUGCUUCUUUUUAGAAUAAUUCUCAUAACUAGGUAGAAAGCUCACCUUUGAAACUUCUGCAUGCCUAAUAAAAUGCUUCACUCACACCCAGUUGUUUUACUCAAGCGAGUAGUUUUAUGGUAACUGCAUUUGGGGUAACAGUCUUACAGAAGAGUUAACACAAUGGGCAGAUUCCAGGUGUGCUGUCAUUUGGAGGAGGCAAAUCCAUACAGACAAGAAGUAGAUUAGUGGUUGCCUAGAGCUGGAGGAGGGUAGGGAUAAGGAAUGGAUUACUACUGGGACUGGGUUUCUUUUUGGGGUGAUGAAAAUUUUCUAAAAUUGAUUGUGGUGAUGGUUGCCUAACUCUGUGAAUAGCAAUGAAUUGUGCUAUUGUACACUUUAGGUAAAUGGUAUGGUAUAUGAGUUAUAUCCCCAAUAAAGCUGUUAAAAAAGAAUGAGAAAGACCGAGUGACUUGCCAAGGUAGUCUCUCAAAUGUGUUGUUGUUUUUUCUUUGAAGCUCUUAACAAAACUUUUAAAGACAUGCAAGAAUCAUUAUGGCUCAGAGUCCUGAUGGGAGUACCAGGCUCUCUUUUGAGCUGUUGUCUCUUAAAACUUGUAGCAUGCCUUGUCACGUAUGUUAUCAAAAAAGUAAGGAAAAGAAUAGCUUCA
Molecule: long non-coding RNA, 2096 nt
Filed under: Homo sapiens (human)
Lineage: Eukaryota; Metazoa; Chordata; Mammalia; Primates; Hominidae
Description: HSALNT0374294
Source: RNAcentral